GGCAUGGUGGCUCAGUGGUUGGAGCGCCUGCCUCAUGAACGGGAGGUCGUGGGUUCGAACCCCGGCCGAGUCA
Non-coding RNA from Strongylocentrotus purpuratus (purple sea urchin), 73 nucleotides. Lineage: Eukaryota; Metazoa; Echinodermata; Echinoidea; Camarodonta; Strongylocentrotidae. The record is from Rfam.